This is a non-coding RNA of Acanthosepion pharaonis, 115 nucleotides long. The record is from the annotation of a GenBank genome assembly. NCBI's taxonomy places the organism in Eukaryota, Metazoa, Mollusca, Cephalopoda, Sepiida, Sepiidae.
UUACGUCCAUAUCACGUUGAAACGCUGGUUCACGUAUGAUCACCGAAGUUAAGCAACCUCAAACCUAGUCAGUACCUAGAUGGCUUACUGCUUGGGAAUACCUGUUGCUGUAAGC